GGCUUCGCAGCUUAGUCGGGCAGACUAACAGUGAUCCUGAAUACGGUGGUUGUGGGUUUGAAUCCCACCGAAGUCA
Molecule: non-coding RNA, 76 nt
Organism: Desmophyllum pertusum
Lineage: Eukaryota; Metazoa; Cnidaria; Anthozoa; Scleractinia; Caryophylliidae
Source: the annotation of a GenBank genome assembly